AUUGAACGCUGGCGGAAUGCUUUACACAUGCAAGUCGAACGGCAGCACGGACUUCGGUCUGGUGGCGAGUGGCGAACGGGUGAGUAAUGUAUCGGAACGUGCCCAGUCGUGGGGGAUAACGUAGUGAAAAUUACGCUAAUACCGCAUACGAUCUAUGGAUGAAAGCGGGGGAUCGCAAGACCUCGCGCGAUUGGAGCGGCCGAUAUCAGAUUAGGGAGGUGGUGGGGUAAAGGCCCACCAAGCCAACGAUCUGUAGCUGGUCUGAGAGGACGACCAGCCACACUGGAACUGAGCAACGGUCCAGACUCCUACGGGAGGCAGCAGUGGGGAAUUUUGGACAAUGGGCGAAAGCCUGAUCCAGCCAUUCCGCGUGCAGGAUGAAGGCCCUCGGGUUGUAAACUGCUUUUGUACAGAACGAAAAGGUUUCUACUAAUACUAGGAGCUCAUGACGGUACUGUAAGAAUAAGCACCGGCUAACUACGUGCCAGCAGCCGCGGUAA
This 500-nucleotide ribosomal RNA is filed under the name uncultured bacterium. RNAcentral describes it as "partial 16S ribosomal RNA". It matches the Rfam family "Bacterial small subunit ribosomal RNA", at positions 30 to 523 of the family's 1533-position model. The record is from RNAcentral.